This 497-nucleotide ribosomal RNA is filed under the name uncultured bacterium. Its description in RNAcentral is "partial 16S ribosomal RNA". It matches the Rfam family "Bacterial small subunit ribosomal RNA", at positions 28 to 507 of the family's 1533-position model. The record is from RNAcentral.
GAUGAACGCUGGCGGCGUGCCUAAUACAUGCAAGUCGAGCGAACGGACGAGAAGCUUGCUUCUCUGAUGUUAGCGGCGGACGGGUGAGUAACACGUGGAUAACCUACCUAUAAGACUGGGAUAACUUCGGGAAACCGGAGCUAAUACCGGAUAAUAUUUUGAACCGCAUGGUUCAAAAGUGAAAGACGGUCUUGCUGUCACUUAUAGAUGGAUCCGCGCUGCAUUAGCUAGUUGGUAAGGUAACGGCUUACCAAGGCAACGAUGCAUAGCCGACCUGAGAGGGUGAUCGGCCACACUGGAACUGAGACACGGUCCAGACUCCUACGGGAGGCAGCAGUAGGGAAUCUUCCGCAAUGGGCGAAAGCCUGACGGAGCAGCGCCGCGUGAGUGAUGAAGGUCUUCGGAUCGUAAAACUCUGUUAUUGGGGAAGAACAUAUGUGUAAGUAACUGUGCACAUCUUGACGGUACCUAAUCAGAAAGCCACGGCUAACUACGUG